UACGAAGGGGGCUAGCGUUGCUCGGAAUUACUGGGCGUAAAGCGCACGUAGGCGGCUCUUUAAGUCGGAGGUGAAAUCCUGGAGCUCAACUCCAGAACUGCCUUCGAUACUGUAGAGCUUGAGUUCGGGAGAGGUGAGUGGAACUGCGAGUGUAGAGGUGAAAUUCGUAGAUAUUCGCAAGAACACCAGUGGCGAAGGCGGCUCACUGGCCCGAUACUGACGCUGAGGUGCGAAAUCGUGGGGAGCAAACAGG
This 253-nucleotide ribosomal RNA is filed under the name uncultured bacterium. RNAcentral's name for it is "partial 16S ribosomal RNA". It matches the Rfam family "Bacterial small subunit ribosomal RNA", at positions 524 to 776 of the family's 1533-position model. The record is from RNAcentral.